CCCCCUCUCUUUUUUUUUUUCCAGUCUCAAUUUGGCUUAGUGUAAGCAUUUGCUUUCAGAAUUACUGAGGUCCAUAAAGUACCAAUCAAGAUCAAUUUCCCGAAGGAUAGUUCGCAAAUUAUUCAUGAAAAGUAAAAACUCAUCGAUGAGAGAUAUGGAUCCAUACUUGGAAUUGGAGAGCGCUUAUGUGGCUCAGAUCUGUUUGACGUGGGAAGCUCUUAAUUGGAAUUACACCAACUUCGGUCCAGCGAAUUCCGAUCGAGACAUGGAAGAUUACUGCUUUCCUGCACGAAUUGCUCAG
RNAcentral lists this long non-coding RNA (301 nucleotides) under Elaeis guineensis (African oil palm). RNAcentral's name for it is "long non-coding RNA (EGUI_LNC006973)". Lineage: Eukaryota; Viridiplantae; Streptophyta; Magnoliopsida; Arecales; Arecaceae. The record is from RNAcentral.